UGCCCUCUUUCAUUUUCAGUCACAGAGAGAUUCAAAAUAGUGCCGAGAGUUAACAUGGCGAUUUGAGUGCAUUUCUUGGUCAAACGUUUCACGACUUGGAAACACGAAAGAUAUGCGGUUAUUCGGGUCGGUCGGUCUGAUAACACUCAUUAGCGAAUCAAAGCCAGAAAAAAGAUCUAAAAACUAACGAUUUCAUGCCAAGGUUGGGUUCUGGGCCCACUCAAUCUUGCAAUAUGUCAACAUCAUCAUCAGAUCGUCUCUUUCUGGGCUCGUAAUCGGACAACCCCCAUUAAGAGGAAACCCCAUCAUUUGUCUUGCCAACAUUUCGCAGACGACCCGUGAUUUGGACGCCCAAACUGGAUGAAUCACAUUGGCAAGCAGAGCAGCUGCUAAAUUACAGCACACACAAUAUGAGGCUUGGUCGUAUCAAGUUUGAGUCGGAUGUUUCCACAAACUGGUCUCGGAGAAUCAAGAUGAUUUCCAGACAAUGUUUU
Tigriopus californicus is the source of this 494-nucleotide long non-coding RNA. RefSeq lists it as uncharacterized. The record is from RefSeq and is a predicted model, not a curated record. The transcript is spliced from 2 exons. Lineage: Eukaryota; Metazoa; Arthropoda; Copepoda; Harpacticoida; Harpacticidae.